AAAGGGAGACCUAAUUCAGGUAGGAGACGAAAAAAAAGUAGUCGCUACCAAGAAUCAAUCCCAAAAGGUCGGAGCGAGGCGAAAUUGGCUUUCAAACUAGGUUCUGGGUUCACACAAGACCUGAAUCAGGAACAAGGGCUAUUAGCUCAGGUGGUUAGAGCGCACCCCUGAUAAGGGUGAGGUCCCUGGUUCGAGUCCAGGAUGGCCCACCUGCACAAGUGGCAAAAACAAGAGAAGCUCCGAAUCAGCACCUUAUCUUACUGACAUAGUAAGAGAGAAUGCUGGCUCUGAGUAAAGAGUCCAGAGGAACCUUAAAAACUGCAUAGAGCUAGGUGAAAAAGCCAAAAAAGAAGACCGCAAG
This 361-nucleotide transfer RNA is filed under the name uncultured Microcystis sp. RNAcentral's name for it is "partial 16S-23S ribosomal RNA intergenic spacer". The stretch from base 136 to 209 matches the Rfam family "tRNA". The record is from RNAcentral. Lineage: Bacteria; Bacillati; Cyanobacteriota; Cyanophyceae; Chroococcales; Microcystaceae.